Molecule: transfer RNA, 74 nt
Filed under: Caldifarciminota bacterium
Lineage: Bacteria; Pseudomonadati; Caldifarciminota
Also listed under: 1 other name
Description: tRNA-Arg
Rfam family: tRNA
About the family: Transfer RNA (tRNA) molecules are approximately 80 nucleotides in length. Their secondary structure includes four short double-helical elements and three loops (D, anti-codon, and T loops). Further hydrogen bonds mediate the characteristic L-shaped molecular structure. tRNAs have two regions of fundamental functional importance: the anti-codon, which is responsible for specific mRNA codon recognition, and the 3' end, to which the tRNAs corresponding amino acid is attached (by aminoacyl-tRNA synthetases). tRNAs cope with the degeneracy of the genetic code in two manners: having more than one tRNA (with a specific anti-codon) for a particular amino acid; and 'wobble' base-pairing, i.e. permitting non-standard base-pairing at the 3rd anti-codon position.
Source: RNAcentral
GCGCCUGUAGCUCAAUCGGAUAGAGCGGUGGACUUCGAAUCCACAGGCUGGGGGUUCGAUUCCCUCCAGGCGCG